This 175-nucleotide ribosomal RNA is filed under the name Candidatus Saccharimonadota bacterium. Its description in RNAcentral is "partial 16S ribosomal RNA". It matches the Rfam family "Bacterial small subunit ribosomal RNA", at positions 1354 to 1533 of the family's 1533-position model. The record is from RNAcentral. Lineage: Bacteria; Candidatus Saccharimonadota.
AAGCUGCGGUGAAUACGUUCCCGGGUCUUGUACACACCGCCCGUCAAACCAUGAAAGUGACCAACACCCGAAGUCCGAUUCGUCGGCCUAAGGUGGGGGACAUGAUUGGGGUUAAGUCGUAACAAGGUAUCCGUAGCGGAAGCUGCGGAUGGAUUACCUCCUUUCUAGGGAGAAA